AUUCGCUAUAUUGCCUCGCAUGAGCUUUGCCGUAACCACAUUUUGCCGUCCAACUUUCUUGGGCCGGAUCUAGUUGGAGAAGCCCAGCCCUGUAUCCAAGUAGAGCCGAGAGCAGAGCCGUAGAGCAGUGGCGUGUACACGCGGAGCUACCGAGAGCCACAAGCUGGAAGCAAGUGAGCUGAGCGCAGGCGGGCGGACGCAAUGAUGAUGGUGGUGGCGACUGCGAGCCCCGGCGGGCCGGAGGCGCUGCAGGUGCGCGAGGUCGAGGAUCUCUCGGCGCCGGGGGAGGGCAAGCUGCUUGUCAGGGUGGCCGCUGCCGGCGUCAAUCGCGACGACACGGUCCAGCGGCAGGGCCGGUACUCGCCGCCGUCUGGCGCCUCGCCCUACCCGGGGCUUGAGUGCUCCGGCACCAUCGUCGCACUCGGGGCCAACGCCCCCCGCGCUGGGCCGUCGACACCAGCAUUUGCAGGUGUACACGCUGCUUACCGGCGGCGGGUAUGCGGAGAAGGUUGUGGUUCCGGCGGGGCAGCUUCUACCGACGACAGAGGGGGGGUUGCUGACUGACAGCCGCCAGCUUGCGCGAGGUGGCCUGCACCGUCUGGUCCACCGUCUUCAUGCCAGUCCCCUCUCCCCCGGUGAAUCCUUCCUUAUCCAUGGUGGAUCUAGUGGAAUUAGUACAUUCACUAUACAGAAUGCAAAACACCUUGGAAAUGUACACACAUGAGACAUCAUUCUUUGUAAGUAACAGUAGCAGCAAAAAUCUGCUAGUUCUAAAUUUGAAGGUUGCAAAUGUAUACAUUCAGAUACACCGAUCGAUGUGUUAAUGUUGCAGAGACAACAUCUCUACUGCUCUGGCACUUUUGAGUGUCUGCACCAACCUUUAGGAAUUGCAGCUGGGCUAAAGAAAAGCUAAAUAACAAACCACGAAAUUCAGAUGGAAUUUCCGACAUCAGAGACACGUAUUUUGUUAAUCAGGUGCUGAAGAAACAAUCAAUCCUCUCCGCUUGAAGGUAGGUUAUGCACACAGAUUUGUUCUUACCUUGCAAGCAUCGUUGGACGAAGACAGUAGGCAUGAUCAUGGACAAACGCAGUGAGUGCUCAACCCAUCUGUGCAUAUGCUGCACUUCAUGCCCCCGUUCCGCUGCCAUCCUUAUUUUGCCUCUCCUGGAUCUGGCUCCCCAGAGUGUCGUCUUGCUGUCCCUCCCCAGGUUGCCUCGAUCUUGCAGGAGAGGAGCACGGGAGGGCGGUGGCUGGAGUCGGCAGUGGCUGAAGGGAACGCUUGAGAAGGGGAUGCAAUGGAACUGUGAAGGGCGGGUCGGCGAGGAAUCCCGCACAGCGCGACACAUGGGCGAGCAGCGAAGGAGGUUUGGGGUGGCGCCCGAAAAUAUUGGAAGGGGAUGGGGAGGUGGCGGAUGGUUGGAGAAGAAGACCGGCCGCGCGGCCGCGCAUGGCGGCGGCGGCUGUGCCGUACCCGUACGCGAGGAGGAGAGCCCGUGGUCGUGCAUGUGUGUGGUCUUUGUUUAGCAAUUCAAAAUAGCACUGCGGGUAGAAUAAUAAACAAUGCAGGGAUCUUUUUGUAAGUACGAAACGUUUUUUCGAUUGACCACUUAAAAUAGGACUGUAGGUUGAAUUCUUAGAAACAGAGGGACUUUUUUGCAAAAUCGCUAGCGACGACGACCAGAAACCCAAUUCUCUUUAUUAUUAGGUUAUUAUUAGGGAAAGAAAAGACUAGCGUGCUUAAACCUGCACACUGAAGCUAUCUUUUGGAGAUUAUUUUGUCUGCCAUGUGUAAUUUUGGUUGAUGUUUAGCCUGUUGUGCUUAACAUGCUUCUUGAUGUACCUACACAGGACAAUUUUGGGAA
Molecule: RNA transcript, 1862 nt
Organism: Triticum aestivum (bread wheat)
Lineage: Eukaryota; Viridiplantae; Streptophyta; Magnoliopsida; Poales; Poaceae
Gene name: quinone oxidoreductase PIG3
Exons: 5
Source: RefSeq, a predicted model, not a curated record